Chiloscyllium plagiosum (whitespotted bambooshark) is the source of this 728-nucleotide RNA transcript. RefSeq lists it as uncharacterized. The record is from RefSeq and is a predicted model, not a curated record. NCBI's taxonomy places the organism in Eukaryota, Metazoa, Chordata, Chondrichthyes, Orectolobiformes, Hemiscylliidae.
CCCGCCCAUCGGGUGGUUUGACGGUUGGAGACGGACCCUCCUCGUCGUCGACGGACUGACCCCGGGGGGGUGGUUACUGCUAAACUUCACUCCCCCCGCUGGCUGGGCAACGCCGAAAGCCCGGUCACUGAUUUCCCCGGGGAGGAGGAGGGGGGACAUUGAGCCCUGAGGGGAAUCCCUGGAGACACAUAGGGAAUACAUGAGUUUACUGAAGAAGGAAAUUAGGAGGACGAAAAAGGGGCACGAGAUAACCUUUGGCUGUGAAGAUUAGGGUGAAUCCAAAGAGAUCAUCCGGCUAUGGUUUUGCUGGAUAGAGGUAUCCACGCGUAGACGAGCGACGUUAAAAUCUCAAAAAAGACACGAUCCAUCGCGUAUGGGGAGAUGAGCUUGGCUGCUCCCAACACUGCAUGAAGUUUCAAAAGCUGCCUGCCUAAAUCUCCCACACCAACUUCCGGGAGCCCAAAGAGUAGCUGUCUUUGGGUGAACUUAGAAGGUAACCCGGAUUGGUGGUUCUGGAAAAGCAGCCAAGAAGUCCAUAUUUAUACCUGUGAAACAAUGCAUCAUGAAAACCGUUUGAGUAAUCUGGCCAGUUUUGUUAUUUUCUUUAUCCCUUAACUGUGUUUGUCUUGUUUUUGUAUGAAUUGUGGUUGAAAAGAAAUACUUUGGGUGAAUUAGAUUACCAUGUUGUUUAAUUUUCUGCUAAAUUUCUUGUAUAUUUAAUAAAUGGU